Long non-coding RNA from Cyprinus carpio carpio, 1689 nucleotides. Lineage: Eukaryota; Metazoa; Chordata; Actinopteri; Cypriniformes; Cyprinidae. The record is from Ensembl.
ACGUGUGUCACGGAGUGACUUUGUAAGGGCGGAACUAAAAAAUGACGGAGAUUGGUUCCGCCCGGACCAUAAUUCUCAAACACCGGGAACUCCGGGAAGGGAAAUCAGGGUUUUAUUGAUCGCAGGUGGAUAGAUGAACGGGGCGAUCGUGGAUUGGGCAGUAUGAAGAGAAGGAGGAGUAUAAAGAGGGCCUCAGAAACUGCAGAGGAGGGGGAAAGUUCUUUGUUUUAUUUCAGCCGAUACGGCGAGAGAGUUGGAGCGUUUGGGCGAGUACAGAGGAAAGAAGGCAGAGGAUAUUGUUGGCUGGGCAAAGACGGAGACAAGGGUUUGGCAGAAACAGACACCGGGCUGAGUAUAUUGGAAUGUCUACUUAACUGUGAAAUGCUCCAUGGACAUGUGUAACAAAUUCUGAGUGGUUGAAAACAGGAAGACUCACCGGAAGUAUCGCCGAAGGAGGCCUUUUCGACAGGGCACGUGGCAGCAGGAGAAGUAUCCAGGAGCUGGAAAGAAGAGGGAAAAGAGACCUCGUGUAGUAACGGUGUGAGUACCCUAAACCAUCGUACAGCAGUAUAAUCAUCUAGAGUGAACCAUCUGUGAGCGUUUUGUGAGUUUGUGGCAUAGUAUGUGAGCGGCCCCACCGUGGAGGAGGAUUGUGGGUGAGCCGGGACCAGUGAGUGAGAGAGGAUGUUGGGCUGUUGUGGCGGCAACGUUUAAAUCUGAAUAUUCGUGGCAUCAGUGUCUUCACGACUCCCAGGAAGAGUCUUUGGUCAGACGGGGUGUUGACCCUAAAUUCACCAGAGUGUGUGGAGUGCAGUGGGUGAGUCUUUGUCCUUUGCUGUGAGUGUAUACACUUGAAAAUUGCAGUGUUGUGCUGUGUUGUGUCGUCAACAACCACCUUUCAGGCCCGACGAAAUCCUGUGAAGGAAGUGAAUACCGAGGCGGGCGAAGAAAACAUCUCCAACUAUAUGCCGUCGAUGACAUCCUGACCCUUCUUCCCCACGUGACGGUGGUGGGAAACAAUUUCAAGUAAGAACAGUGUGGAUCUAUUGGGAAGUAUUAAUGGUGAGGAGUUGGCUGCUGUAGGAGGAAAUCAGCUGUGCGUGUAUUAUUACCUGCUGUGGAGUUCUUCAAAGGUUCGCCCCUGUCUAGAUCUCUUGACUUGUCGGUUGGUAGAAAGAAGAGGGAAGCGUUCGACCCAUCCAGUGUAGUACACCCCGGGUGAGACAACUUACCUGUGUGUGACGCCAGCGGAGGCCGUGUUCGGCCCAACGCAACAGUUUUCGAUCCGCCUCUCUAUCAGCAGUUGGUAGAAGCCUCAGAAAAGGAACGUCUGACGUCUAUUCCCUCGAAGAUCUAGCGGGUCCCUUUGAAGCGUCUACCUGCAUGUCGACUCGUCACUCAGGAUACAGAGACCGUGGAAACCCCCCCCCCGUACACUUACCAGUACGGUUUUAGUUGGAUCCCGGCAGCCCUUGGGCAGUUCCCCCAGCAUCUGGACGACCGGGAGUAUAAUCCGCUGGGUCGCCUCGGAGUUCGUCAAAAGUAGCAGCAGGUAUCCAUUGUGCAUCCAAACUCUCAAUACUUACCACUUGUAUCUGUUACUUCGUCAAAAGUAGCAGCAGGUAUCCAUUGUGCAUCCAAACUCUCAAUACUUACCACUUGUAUCUGUUACGUCCAGGAAAGGAGAGG